CUAAUACAUGCAAGUCGAGCGCAGGAAGCAGACUGAUCUCCUUCGGGAGUGAUGUUUGUGGAAUGAGCGGCGGACGGGUGAGUAACACGUGGGCAACCUGCCUGUAAGACCGGGAUAACUCGCGGAAACGUGAGCUAAUACCGGAUAAAGCUCCAUGCCGCAUGGCAUGGGGAUGAAAGACGGCUUAGCUGUCGCUUGCAGAUGGGCCCGCGGCGCAUUAGCUAGUUGGUGAGGUAACGGCUCACCAAGGCGACGAUGCGUAGCCGACCUGAGAGGGUGAUCGGCCACACUGGGACUGAGACACGGCCCAGACUCCUACGGGAGGCAGCAGUAGGGAAUCUUCCGCAAUGGACGCAAGUCUGACGGAGCAACGCCGCGUGAGUGAGGAAGGCCUUCGGGUCGUAAAGCUCUGUUGCCAGGGAAGAAUGGCUUGCAGUUAACUGCUGCAAGUUUGACGGUACCUGAGAAGAAAGCCCCGGCUAACUACGUGCCAGCAGCCGCGGUAAUACGUAGGGGGCAAGCGUUGUCCGGAAUUAUUGGGCGUAAAGGGCGCGCAGGCGGCCGUUUAAGUCUCGUGUUUAAUCCCGGGGCUCAACCCCGGUACGCAUGGGAAACUGGAUGGCUUGAGUGCAGAAGAGGAGAGUGGAAUUCCACGUGUAGCGGUGAAAUGCGUAGAGAUGUGGAGGAACACCAGUGGCGAAGGCGG
This 706-nucleotide ribosomal RNA is filed under the name uncultured bacterium. Its description in RNAcentral is "bacterial SSU rRNA". It matches the Rfam family "Bacterial small subunit ribosomal RNA", at positions 48 to 724 of the family's 1533-position model. The record is from RNAcentral.